GACGAACGCUGGCGGCGUGCUUAACACAUGCAAGUCGAACGGACAGGCCCUGCUUUUGUGGGGUGCUCGAGUGGCGAACGGGUGAGUAUCACGUGAGUAACCUGCCCUUGAAUUCGGGAUAACUUCAGGAAACUGGGGCUAAUCCCGGAUCUGAGCUCAUGCUGCAUGGUUGGGGUUGGAAAGUUUAUGCGGUUGGGGAUGGACUAGCGGAUGAUCAGCUUGUGUGUGGGGUAGUGGCUUAACAAGGCUUGGACGGGUAGCCGGCAUGAGAGGGUGAACGGCCACGUUAGGGCUGAGAUACUGGCCAGAGUCGUACGGGAUGCAGCGGGUGGUAAUAAUGCACAAUGGGCGGAAGCCUGAUGCAGCAACGCCGCGUGCGGGAUAACGGCCUUCGGGUUUAAAACCGCUGUCGCCUUUAACGAUGCGUAAGUGACGUUAAUGAGUAAAGAAGCAACGGCUAGCUACGUG
RNAcentral lists this ribosomal RNA (468 nucleotides) under uncultured bacterium. RNAcentral's name for it is "partial 16S ribosomal RNA". It matches the Rfam family "Bacterial small subunit ribosomal RNA", at positions 28 to 507 of the family's 1533-position model. The record is from RNAcentral.